Molecule: long non-coding RNA, 334 nt
Organism: Clupea harengus (Atlantic herring)
Lineage: Eukaryota; Metazoa; Chordata; Actinopteri; Clupeiformes; Clupeidae
Exons: 3
Source: RefSeq, a predicted model, not a curated record
UGUUAAAUCACACACAAACAAACACACACCCUGUAUCUCCAGGUGCAUGAGGGCUCUAAGGCGGUGCUGGCUGACCUGAGGUCAGGUGAUGUGAUUGUGGAGGUGAACGGAGAACUCACUGCCACCAUGCUGAACGUGGAGGCUCAGGGAAAGAUCCGGAACGCCAUGACUAACCUCAAACUGCUGAUAGACAGGCCAUCCAAUUCAAAGCAGACCUGCCCAGGAAGUCACGAUAAGCCAGAGUAUCUGCUCUGCCAGGAUCUUGGGGCUCAGUCUCAUGAUACAGGAGGCCAAAGGAAACCACCACGUCCUCACACAGCCCAACCAAUGAGAA